CCUACGGGAGGCAGCAGUAGGGAAUUUUCCACAAUGGACGAAAGUCUGAUGGAGCAACGCCGCGUGCAGGAUGAAGGCCUUAGGGUUGUAAACUGCUUUUCUAUGUGACGCGGUAGCAUAGGAAUAAGGACCUGCUAACUACGUGCCAGCAGCCGCGGUCAUACGUAGGGUCCAAGCGUUAUCCGGAAUUACUGGGCGUAAAGAGUGCGUAGGUGGCAUGAUAAGUCAGUAGUGAAAUGACGAGGCUCAACCUCGUGUCCAUUACUGAAACUGUCAAGCUAGAGAAUGAGAGAGGUCACUGGAAUUCCCUGUGUAGGAGUGAAAUCCGUAGAUAUAGGGAGGAACACCGAUGGCGUAGGCAGGUGACUGGCUCAUUCUGACACUAAGGCACGAAAGCGUGGGUAGCAAACGGGAUUAGAUACCCUUGUAGUC
Molecule: ribosomal RNA, 432 nt
Filed under: uncultured bacterium
Lineage: Bacteria
Description: partial 16S ribosomal RNA
Rfam family: Bacterial small subunit ribosomal RNA
Source: RNAcentral